GAUGAACGCUGGCGGCGUGCCUAAUACAUGCAAGUCGAGCGAACAGACGAGGAGCUUGCUCCUCUGACGUUAGCGGCGGACGGGUGAGUAACACGUGGAUAAACUACCUAUAAGACUGGGAUAAAUUCGGGAAACCGGAGCUAAUACCGGAUAACAUGCUGAACCGCAUGGUUCAACAGUGAAAGACGGUCUUGCUGUCACUUAUCGAUGGAUCCGCGCCGCAUUAGCUAGUUGGUAAGGUAACGGCUUACCAAGGCAACGAUGCGUAGCCGACCUGAGAGGGUGAUCGGCCGCCCGGGAACUGAGACACGGUCCAGACUCCUACGGGAGGCAGCAGUAGGGAAUCUUCCGCAAUGGGCGAAAUCCUGACGGAGCAACGCCGCGUGAGUGAAGAAGGUCUUCGGAUCGUAAAACUCUGUUAUUAGGGAAGAACAAAUGUGUAAGUAACUAUGCACGUCUUGACGGUACCUAAUCAGAAAGCCACGGCUAACUACGUG
Molecule: ribosomal RNA, 497 nt
Filed under: uncultured bacterium
Lineage: Bacteria
Description: partial 16S ribosomal RNA
Rfam family: Bacterial small subunit ribosomal RNA
Source: RNAcentral